CCUACGGGAGGCAGCAGUGGGGAAUUUUGGACAAUGGGCGCAAGCCUGAUCCAGCAAUGCCGCGUGAGUGAAGAAGGCCUUCGGGUUGUAAAGCUCUUUUGUCGGGGAAGAAACGGUGGGGGCUAAUAUCCUCCACUAAUGACGGUACCUGAAGAAUAAGCACCGGCUAACUACGUGCCAGCAGCCGCGGUAAUACGUAGGGUGCAAGCGUUAAUCGGAAUUACUGGGCGUAAAGCGUGCGCAGGCGGUUUUGUAAGUCUGUCGUGAAAGCCCCGGGCUCAACCUGGGAAUUGCGAUGGAGACUGCAAGGCUUGAAUCUGGCAGAGGGGGGUAGAAUUCCGCGUGUAGCAGUGAAAUGCGUAGAGAUGUGGAGGAACACCGAUGGCGAAGGCAGCCCCCUGGGUCAAGAUUGACGCUCAUGCACGAAAGCGUGGGGAGCAAACAGGAUUAGAUACCCUGGUAGUCCACGCCCUAAACGAUGUCUACUAGUUGUCGGGUUUUAAUUAACUUGGUAACGCAGCUAACGCGUGAAGUAGACCGCCUGGGGAGUACGGUCGCAAGAUUAAAACUUAAAGGAAUUGACGG
This 585-nucleotide ribosomal RNA is filed under the name uncultured bacterium. RNAcentral describes it as "bacterial SSU rRNA". It matches the Rfam family "Bacterial small subunit ribosomal RNA", at positions 338 to 916 of the family's 1533-position model. The record is from RNAcentral.